This 84-nucleotide transfer RNA is filed under the name Zootermopsis nevadensis. RNAcentral describes it as "tRNA-Leu (TAA) (tRNA-Leu-TAA-3-1)". It matches the Rfam family "tRNA". Rfam says of the family: Transfer RNA (tRNA) molecules are approximately 80 nucleotides in length. Their secondary structure includes four short double-helical elements and three loops (D, anti-codon, and T loops). The record is from Rfam by way of RNAcentral. Lineage: Eukaryota; Metazoa; Arthropoda; Insecta; Blattodea; Termopsidae.
GUCAGGUUGGCCGAGCGGUCUAAGGCGUCAGACUUAAGUUCUGAUUCCCGCGAGGGAGCGUGGGUUCGAACCCCACACCUGACA